This 253-nucleotide ribosomal RNA is filed under the name uncultured bacterium. RNAcentral's name for it is "partial 16S ribosomal RNA". It matches the Rfam family "Bacterial small subunit ribosomal RNA", at positions 524 to 776 of the family's 1533-position model. The record is from RNAcentral.
UACGAAGGGGGCUAGCGUUGUUCGGAAUUACUGGGCGUAAAGCGCACGUAGGCGGACAUUUAAGUCAGGGGUGAAAUCCCAGAGCUCAACUCUGGAACUGCCUUUGAUACUGGGUGUCUUGAGUAUGGAAGAGGUGAGUGGAACUGCGAGUGUAGAGGUGAAAUUCGUAGAUAUUCGCAAGAACACCAGUGGCGAAGGCGGCUCACUGGCCCGAUACUGACGCUGAGGUGCGAAAGCGUGGGGAGCAAACAGG